Molecule: long non-coding RNA, 739 nt
Organism: Talpa occidentalis (Iberian mole)
Lineage: Eukaryota; Metazoa; Chordata; Mammalia; Eulipotyphla; Talpidae
Exons: 3
Source: RefSeq, a predicted model, not a curated record
UAGGUACUCACUCCUUCACCCACUCAACAAAUACAUGUUAAACAUGUAUGAUGCGUUCAACAUUGCUGGGCCUGGAGCAGUCAGCCAAGGUCUGCAAUGGAUUCCAGUCUCAUGAAAGGGAAACAAUACUUUUAGGCCAUGUCAUCCUGGAAGGUCAUGAGUCUGCUCCUGCCUUCAUGGUUCCAGGGUUAGCCCCAGCAGGGCAUUGCACACCAACCCCUGGUUGCAGACUAGGACUGGUCUCCAGCUGGGACGCCACAAAGAUACCUACACCAGAUGCUGUCAUCUGGAAAAAAGGGUUGGUGCUACCUAGCUGGCUGAGAUCCAGAGGCAGCAGGAAGAAGGGAAGGAGGAAACCCCCUCCCCCCGCAGUGGAGGCCAGCCAAGAGCCCCAACAAAGCUGGCAAGAACCUGCCCCACCUCAGCACGGGGGCCAUACCUUCUCCCACGCAGCAUUCAGGAGAAAGGAAAUCCAGCACCCUGAACAACACCAGAAAGGACCUCGGCAAUUGUUUCCUUGUUGGUCAGGUUGCCACUGGGGCCCAACAUUGGCUCACCUUUCCAGCAGCCUUCCCCUAACCCGUUCCUGCCAGCAGCUGCCAGCUUCCCAGGACUCAAUGGCUAGAUGCAGGGGAGCUUGGAGGAGAGACCCACUGCUCUGAGGUUGGGCGGGCAGAGGAACUCAGUGUUGAAGGAUGGACAACCAUUAAGGAUGGACAAGUUUUAGGCAGGGAAGGGG